This 1107-nucleotide ribosomal RNA is filed under the name Demequina aestuarii. RNAcentral describes it as "bacterial SSU rRNA". It matches the Rfam family "Bacterial small subunit ribosomal RNA", at positions 218 to 1336 of the family's 1533-position model. Lineage: Bacteria; Bacillati; Actinomycetota; Actinomycetes; Micrococcales; Demequinaceae. The record is from RNAcentral.
GUCUGGGAUGGACUCGCGGGCUUUUCAGCUUGUUGGUGAGGUAAUGGCUCACCAAGGCGACGACGGGUAGCCGGNCUGAGAGGGCGACCGGCCCACACUGGAACUGAGACACGGUCCAGACUCCUACGGGAGGCAGCAGUGGGGAAUAUUGCACAAUGGGCGCAAGCCUGAUGCAGCGACGCCGCGUGGGGGAUGAAGGCCUUCGGGUUGUAAACCCCUUUCAGCAGGGAAGAAGCGAAAGUGACGGUACCUGCAGAAGAAGCGCCGGCUAACUACGUGCCAGCAGCCGCGGUAAUACGUAGGGCGCAAGCGUUGUCCGGAAUUAUUGGGCGUAAAGAGCUCGUAGGCGGUCUGUCGCGUCUGCUGUGAAAACCCGAGGCUCAACCUCGGGCCUGCAGUGGGUACGGGCAGACUAGAGUGUGGUAGGGGAGACUGGAAUUCCUGGUGUAGCGGUGGAAUGCGCAGAUAUCAGGAGGAACACCAAUGGCGAAGGCAGGUCUCUGGGCCACUACUGACGCUGAGGAGCGAAAGCAUGGGGAGCGAACAGGAUUAGAUACCCUGGUAGUCCAUGCCGUAAACGGUGGGCACUAGAUGUGGGGCUCUUUCCAUGAGUUCCGCGUCGCAGCUAACGCAUUAAGUGCCCCGCCUGGGGAGUACGGCCGCAAGGCUAAAACUCAAAGGAAUUGACGGGGGCCCGCACAAGCGGCGGAGCAUGCGGAUUAAUUCGAUGCAACGCGAAGAACCUUACCAAGGCUUGACAUAUACCCUUUAUCCCUAGAGAUAGGGAGUCCUUCGGGGGGGUAUACAGGUGGUGCAUGGUUGUCGUCAGCUCGUGUCGUGAGAUGUUGGGUUAAGUCCCGCAACGAGCGCAACCCUCGUCCUAUGUUGCCAGCACGUAAUGGUGGGGACUCAUAGGAGACUGCCGGGGUCAACUCGGAGGAAGGUGGGGAUGACGUCAAAUCAUCAUGCCCCUUAUGUCUUGGGCUUCACGCAUGCUACAAUGGCCGGUACAAAGGGCUGCAAUACCGCAAGGUGGAGCGAAUCCCAAAAAGCCGGUCUCAGUUCGGAUUGAGGUCUGCAACUCGACCUCAUGAAGUUGGAGUCGCU